This is a long non-coding RNA of Bactrocera dorsalis (oriental fruit fly), 745 nucleotides long. RefSeq lists it as uncharacterized. The record is from RefSeq and is a predicted model, not a curated record. The transcript has 5 exons. NCBI's taxonomy places the organism in Eukaryota, Metazoa, Arthropoda, Insecta, Diptera, Tephritidae.
CGAAUUGAGGAAUGCAACGUAACAGUAAAAAUAUUUAGUUACAAGUGGUAAGGAGAGUGGACACACGUAAUUCUUGGUUGAUGUUGCGAAUAUUCGUUAAAAUUAGUGAAAAGUAUUUCUUAAAUUGCGUUUUUAUUUAAAUUAAUGUUAAAAUCGUUCAUAAAUGCAAAAAAAAGUGUCGUGAAUUAGUAGUGGCUUAAAUUCGUCGAAAUUACCAGUGUCUAUAAUGUGCAAAUUCCUUAAGUGCGUGUUCGGGUUAGUUCGCGGUUGUGUAUAUGAGUGUAAGUAUGUAUGAAUGUAACAAGUGCGUUAGUCUUUUAUCCGGUUCUCGAUUGGUUUACGUCGCGUGUGUCGGGUGGUAAGUGUGAUAGUGUUUUUAUAAAAAAAUAGCGCGUCGUGUAAUCGUUGAUAAAUAUUCCUAUUUUCAUUAUUAGGCCAGAAAUAUAUAUAGCAGCCCUCGUGUGCAUUGCCAAGGCAAAUUCAAAAGAGCUUGAUCUUCAUCCCGCAAGCUUAUACAAGUGGGAAAAGUGCGCACAGCAAAGGAUGGCAAAUGAAAAAAGCGAAAUGAAAAAGAUGCGGCAUGUACUCAUCGUUUCCGGUGUGCGAGUGGAAAUGCUUGAAUGCUGUUAACCGUUGAGAGAGUUUGAUUUCCAUAGCAACAUAUUCGAGUCAUAAUCAUCUACAGUGAUACACAAGUCAAUUAACCACAGGCGAGUCUCACACAAAUCACUCUUCUGAAUUUAAC